CUCAAAUUUGAAAUCUGGCACCUUCGGUGUCCGAGUUGUAAUUUGAAGAAGGUAACUUUGGAGUUGGCUCUUGUCUAUGUUCCUUGGAACAGGACGUCACAGAGGGUGAGAAUCCCGUGCGAUGAGAUGUCCAACUCUAUGUAAAGUGCUUUCGAAGAGUCGAGUUGUUUGGGAAUGCAGCUCUAAGUGGGUGGUAAAUUCCAUCUAAAGCUAAAUAUUGGCGAGAGACCGAUAGCGAACAAGUACAGUGAUGGAAAGAUGAAAAGAACUUUGAAAAGAGAGUGAAAAAGUACGUGAAAUUGUUGAAAGGGAAGGGUUUGAGAUCAGACUUGGUAUUUUGUAUGUCUUGCUUUCGGGUGGGGCCUCUGCAGUUUACUGGGCCAGCAUCGGUUUGGACGGUAGGAUAAUGACAUUGGAAUGUGGCACUACUUCGGUGGUGUGUUAUAGACUUUGUUGAUACUGCCUGUCUAGACCGAGGACUGCGUCUUUGACUAGGAUGCUGGCAUAAUGAUCCUAAACCGC
Molecule: ribosomal RNA, 522 nt
Filed under: Scheffersomyces shehatae
Lineage: Eukaryota; Fungi; Ascomycota; Pichiomycetes; Serinales; Debaryomycetaceae
Description: eukaryotic LSU rRNA
Rfam family: Eukaryotic large subunit ribosomal RNA
Source: RNAcentral